CCGAAAGGCGUAGUCGAUGGGAAUCAGGCGAAUAUUCCUGAGCCGGGUGGAUGUGACGGAUCGGAAAGCGUGUCACGACUUAUCGGAUUGUCGUGGCUGUGGACCGGUUCCAGGAAACAGCACCACCAUUGAGACCGUACCCGAAACCGACACAGGUGGACUGGUUGAGCAUACCAAGGCGCUUGAGAGAACUAUGCUGAAGGAACUCGGCAAAUUGCUCCCGUAAGUUCGCGAGAAGGGAGCCUGGCUUUGCGCAAGCAAUGUCCAGGGGCACAGACCAGGGGGUGGCGACUGUUUACUAAAAACACAGGGCUCUGCGAAGUCGCAAGACGACGUAUAGGGUCUGACGCCUGCCCGGUGCCGGAAGGCUAAAAGGCGGAGGG
RNAcentral lists this ribosomal RNA (383 nucleotides) under Astrosyne radiata. RNAcentral's name for it is "partial Bacterial large subunit ribosomal RNA". It matches the Rfam family "Bacterial large subunit ribosomal RNA", at positions 1402 to 1891 of the family's 2925-position model. Lineage: Eukaryota; Bacillariophyta; Fragilariophyceae; Cyclophorales; Cyclophoraceae. The record is from RNAcentral.